RNAcentral lists this long non-coding RNA (305 nucleotides) under Capsella grandiflora. RNAcentral's name for it is "long non-coding RNA (CGRA_LNC001655)". Lineage: Eukaryota; Viridiplantae; Streptophyta; Magnoliopsida; Brassicales; Brassicaceae. The record is from RNAcentral.
AUCAUUACCCAAAUUCUGAUCCGAUUGUCUAUAUUGUUGAUAAAUUCUUAGUCCAUAAAUUCCAAAUCAACCAAGUUCUUAUUCAAGAGUUCAAAUAGGGAACUCACAUUGAAAAAACAGUGUGGUUAUGGAAGUAUACACUCCUACAUCGCCUUAGAAUCCUGUGGAACUAAAGAAGAUUCAAUCUUAAUAGAGUUUACAUGUAUAUCGUAAUUUUUUAAAACUUAAGGUUUUGUCCGUUGGGUUGGCCUAGUCGUUAUUAGACCCUAUCGAUCCUAUAAUAGCUCAGACAACGUUUUGUAAGG